Molecule: long non-coding RNA, 2592 nt
Organism: Salvia miltiorrhiza (redroot sage)
Lineage: Eukaryota; Viridiplantae; Streptophyta; Magnoliopsida; Lamiales; Lamiaceae
Exons: 3
Source: RefSeq, a predicted model, not a curated record
ACGAUAAUUAAUUUAUUAUAUAAAAAAAGGUACUCCUACUAUAUCUUCUGUGAAAGAUAAGCUGCCGCCGCCAUCGUUCAAGCUCAAAACCUCAUCGAGCUGUCCAAGGAUGAGAUCUCGUUAAUCCGAGGCAUCGACGUAGAGAUGCGUACAAUUUCCGGUGACGGUGAGGCAAUCAAAAGCUGGCUGAAGAAGCUUGAAAACGUGGGGUUCGAUGCUCACGAUGUUUUGGAUGAAGUCAACUAUCAUCUUCUCUCCAACAAAAUUAAGCCCAUCAAGAAAAAGGUACUAUGUUGCUUCUCAACCUUCAAUCAUAUUACUCGUCUCCGAAAAAUUGGUCUUAGAAUAAGAAAAAUCAAUGGGAUUUUGGAGUCCAUUAACAAAGAGGCAACCGAGCUUGGCCUCGUUGGGAGGCUUGCCCUUGUGCCCACUUUGCUUGAUGCUACUUCUGAAACUGAUUCCUCCUUCACUCUUGAUCCAAUUUUUAUUGGAAGAGAUGAUGUCGUGUCCGAAAUGAAAUUGUUGAGAUGCUCGAUUCUUGCUGUUGUGGGAAUGGGUGGAAUGGGUAAGACAAAUUUGGAUCUCAUAUUUGGGUGCAUGUUACUCAAACUUUUGAUCCAAUCAUUCUUUUCAAGAAAAUCCUGGGAGAGUUGACUUCUGAUCCAGUUCAGAAUAGACAAGAUCUACUUGUUCUUGAUGAUGUAUGGAUUCGAGAUCUUCCAAGAUGAGAAGAUUUUAUUGACUCUUGGCCGGGGUUACUUCUACUAAGGGAAAUGCAUUGUUGUUACCACUAGGGUUAUCAGAGGAAGAUUGCUGGUCAAUAAUCAAAGCAAAAACCUUUGGAAAAGACGAUGUUCCCUCGUAUCGAAGGAACAAAGAUUGCAAAAAGAUGUCAAGGUUUGCCAUCAACUGCCAAGGUAGUCGGAGGAGUUCUGCGGAAUAAAUCUGAUAAGAAAAUGGCUCGCAAUCGAUCGCGCGUUGAAGAGAUAAUAUCACAAAAAUAUUGACCUAGUUUGUAUCCACCAUCACUUAAGAAGUGCUUUGUGUUCAAUUUUCCUAAAGAUGGGCAAAUUGAACUGAUUGAGCAUUGGAUGGCAGAAGGUUUUCUUCAAAGGUGAUGGAUGCAAUGAGAUGAGCAUUGGAUGGUAGAAGGUUUUCUUCGAAGGUGAUUGGAUGCAAUGAGAUGGAGUUUUUGGGCGAAAAAUUUAUCAACAUCCUUGUACACAACAUUUUAUUACAAGUUUCAGAGAGAGAUGAUUAUGGAAAUGUUAUGAGUUGUUCUUUAUUGCAAGUUGCAGAGAGGGAUGAUUAUGGAAAUGUUAUGAGUUGUGUGAUGGGCGAUCUCGCCUCUUCUGAGUUAGGUUCUUCUAACACUAUAACAUUUCCGUAAUCAUCUCUCUCAGCAGCUUGUGUGACACAAUAGUUUGAGGGAGGAAUGAAUUCCUAUCCAAAAAGAAGUGGCAAAAUAUUUGCGUACAUUAUUGUUCAGAGGUGAAAUUUCUAGUAGCAUAUUCCCAGACGUGGAAUGUGUGCGUGUUUUUAGCUCUCAAGAGUUAUAGAUCACAACGGUUAACUCUUGAGGGUUGCCCAGGAAUAGUGACUCAACGAGACAGUGAUAGUGAUUCUGAAUGGCCCAAUAUCUCCCACGGCCAUAUCCUCUCCAUCACCAUUGAUGCCUCCAAGCCCAAAGCUGCUGAUUAUGAUUCUCAAGAAAGUAGGAGGAGAAAAGAUUUGUGUUUGAGGUGCUUCUAAAGAGUGAGGAGGUGAAGAAGGAAUGAGUGUGUAUUAAUUUACUCAACCUUUCUUCAUAAUUCACAAUAUUUCAUCUUCAAGUCGUCGGAGAAAUCGAGGCCUCCAUUUGUGACACAGUUGAAGAUCGCGUUCUCCGUUGGUGACAGUUUACGGGCAUUCGUUGGUCCCGUGCUCAGGCAAUGGCGAGCUAACUCUGCAACCAUACACUAAGCCAUCACGGGAGGUAUUGGCCGUGUAGGCUGCUGCUUAUUGUACAGGCUCGUGGCCUUGGAGCUGCUGUAGUGCAACCACAACAUCAGCCAUUCUUGGCCUUGCUUUUGGAUCUUGGUUAAGGCACUUCAACGCCAGCUUCACAACUUCAUACGCUGCAUCAUGAGAAUACUGGCCGCCUAAUCUGACGUCGAUAAUCUGCAACAAUCUUGACUUUGUACCAAAAUACGAUUUUCCCAAGUUCAGAUUUGAUGCUAGAGUGCCAGACAGCAAUUCUAGUAGAACAACUCCAAAGGUGUAUACGUUCGACUUUGUAGUCAGGUGACCUGUGCAUAAGAAGAUGACUUCAGAACAACGAGUAUAGCAGGAGAUAACGUACUUAACGAGCAUCAGAAGGCGAAGGGACGAUCAAGAACCUUUCAAUGUAUAUUCAGGUGCAGUAUAGCCGUGUGCAACGAAUACUUGAUGAGUUCCCACGCAAGCCUUUUCACCAGUAGGAUCAUCUGUACCGUAACUGUAGUUAGAUAGCUUGGCAUUCAGUUCCUACACACCAAAUUUGUAAAACAUCAAAUGUUCAUCUGUAUAUCUGCAUAUAUGCAUAUAUAACUGAUUCUCUGUUUCUGUCUAAAA